Erinaceus europaeus (western European hedgehog) is the source of this 1223-nucleotide long non-coding RNA. RefSeq lists it as uncharacterized. The transcript is spliced from 3 exons. The record is from RefSeq and is a predicted model, not a curated record. Lineage: Eukaryota; Metazoa; Chordata; Mammalia; Eulipotyphla; Erinaceidae.
GACAGAGAGAAAUGGAGAGCAGAGGGGAGAGAAAGAUAGACACCUGCAGACCUGCUACACUACCUGAGAAGCGACUCCCCUGGCAGAGAGAGAAACCAGAGCCGUGCUGUACAGAUUGAACCUAGGGCCUCGUUUGUGCAAGUCCUGUGCUCCACCACUGAGCUGGCUCUAGAAGGAGCAUACAGAAUCCAUUUACAUUUACAUGAUCCUUUGCAGAGCAAACAGAACAACAAAACAUCAUGCAGAGGGGGGAGAAGAACAAUAAACACCAAACUGCAGAUGGUGCAAUGAUUCAUUCCAUCCUGACUUCUCUGGGCCGAUGACCUCACCAGUGUGUCCUGGAACCUCACCUCUCCAGAGCUCUACCCCACUAGGGAAAGACAGAAGCAGGCUGGGGAUUGACCUGCCAAUGCCCAUGUCUAGUGGAAAAGCAAUUAUAGAAGCCAGAGCUCCUACCUUCUGCCACCCCCAAAACAAUCUUAAUUCAUACUCCCAGUGGGGGAGAAGUGAUAGGUGGAAGAGGAUAGAGGGCUCUGAACUCCAGCUCAUCAACAUCCUGAGGGAAGGAAAAAGAGAGGCACAUUUGGAUGUAGCAAUAUUGUCAAGAGUGGCUUGGAGGGGAAGAGAGGACUGGACCUGGAAGAAAAAGGGGGCAAUUAUGAACAAAGGUAGGCAGAUAGUUGUAGAGAUGAUGGUUGCCCCCUAUCUGCAGCCUUACAAGAAAGGUGGUAGUUGGCAGUGGGGAGAUUGAGGAUUUAGAACCCUGUGGGAAUGGUGUGGAACUAUACCCCUGUUGACAUGUAAUCUUGUAAAUCAGUAUUAAAUCACAAAUAAAAUAGUCUCAACAGGGGUAGGUGGUAGCACACCGGGUUAAACACACAUAGGACAGAGCACAAGGACUCCAAAGUAUCCUGGCUCCUCCACCCCCAGGGGAGGUGGGGGGGUCGCUUCACAAGCGGUGAAGCAGGUCUGCAGGUGUCUAUCUUUUUCUCCCCAUCCCUGUCUUCCCUUCCUCUUUCAACUUCUCUCUGCCUUAUUCUAUUUAAAAAAAAAAAAAAAAAAAAAAAGGCCUCCAGGAGCAGUGGAUUCAUAGUGCCUGGACCAAGUCCCAGCGAUAACCCUGGAGGAAAAGUAAAUAAAUAGUCUCAACUAAAUCAACACUACCAGUGCCACCACGCCAGCUUAUGCUGCUACCACCUUUUUGCUGCAGAUGGUCUCCAGAG